This 500-nucleotide ribosomal RNA is filed under the name uncultured bacterium. RNAcentral describes it as "partial 16S ribosomal RNA". It matches the Rfam family "Bacterial small subunit ribosomal RNA", at positions 30 to 523 of the family's 1533-position model. The record is from RNAcentral.
AUUGAACGCUGGCGGCAUGCCUUACACAUGCAAGUCGAACGGCAGCACGGGAGCAAUCCUGGUGGCGAGUGGCGAACGGGUGAGUAAAGUAUCGGAACGUGCCCAGUCGUGGGGGAUAACGUAGCGCAAGUUACGCUAAUACCGCAUACGAUCUAUGGAUGAAAGCGGGGGAUCGCAAGACCUCGCGCGAUUGGAGCGGCCGAUAUCAGAUUAGGUAGUUGGUGGGGUAAAGGCGCACCAAGCCGACGAUCUGUAGCUGGUCUGAGAGGACGACCAGCCACACUGGGACUGAGACACGGCCCAGACUCCUACGGGAGGCAGCAGUGGGGAAUUUUGGACAAUGGGCGCAAGCCUGAUCCAGCCAUGCCGCGUGCAGGAUGAAGGCCUUCGGGUUGUAAACUGCUUUUGUACGGAACGAAAAGGUUUGACUUAAUACGUUGGACUCAUGACGGUACCGUAAGAAUAAGCACCGGCUAACUACGUGCCAGCAGCCGCCGUAA